Molecule: long non-coding RNA, 2619 nt
Organism: Brassica oleracea var. oleracea
Lineage: Eukaryota; Viridiplantae; Streptophyta; Magnoliopsida; Brassicales; Brassicaceae
Exons: 11
Source: RefSeq, a predicted model, not a curated record
UGCAUAAUUAAAAAAAGAAAGCAAAAGCAAAAUCAAAAUCGAAACCAGACGAAGCCUCGACCUUUCCUUCUCAGUUCUCAUCGUCUCCGAACAACACCACGCACAAAAAAAAAACAGAUAAUUUGCGAGCUCAGAUUUGAAAAAUCGACGGUUGUGGAAGGAAGUGGAAUAGAGUAGCGGAGAUUGUUGCACGUACACGAAGAGAGAUAAACUCGGCGGGAAAUGGGGACGCCGUUGCCGGAUUUCGAGGCGGCGGAGGAGUAGCGUCUUCGUCAGCCACGGUGCUCACGAGCACUAAUACGUUCACGGAGGAUGCGUAGGAGAUAUCUCCGAUCCUGAUUUUCCUCUUCUUUCAUAAGGCGGUAUGCAGUGAGCUCGAAUCGCUUCAUAGGCUGGCGCUUGAGUUUGCUACAGGUCACCACGUUGAUCUCCGUCUCCUCCGUGAACGGUACCGGUUCCUUAGAUCCAUCUAUAAGCAUCACUGCAAUGCCGAGGACGAGGUGAUCUUUUCAGCUCUUGACAUACGCGUGAAGAACGUAGCGCAGACGUAUUCUCUUGAGCACCAAGGUGAAGGCACCCUCUUCGACCAUCUGUUUGAGCUGCUAAAUUCCGCCACGGAGAUCGAUGAAAGUUAUCGAAGGGAGUUGGCUAGCAGUACUGGAGUCAGACAUCUGUUAGCGAGCACUUGGCUAAAGAACAGAAACAGGUGUUCCCGUUACUUAUUGAGAAGUUUAAGCAUGAAGAGCAAGCGUACAUAGUCUGGUGGUUUCAAGCGGACCUUGUUCAUCUUUCCUAUCUCAUGCUUAAGUAUGCUGCUUACCAUUUUGAAUUCUAUCUUCACCUGGUUGGGAGGGAAAAGCGAUACUAUGGCUUCGCGUGGUGUAGAAGAUUCUUCGUUCCAUUGUUGUCUAGAUUCUUCUAGCAGCAUGCUUCCGUGCAAAACUAGUAGAGCACAGUGCCCAUGUGAGGGAUCCAAGGCCGGGAAGAGAAAGUACCCAGAGCUUACCGAGUAUGAUGCUCCUAUGCACCCAAUUGAUGAGAUAAAAAUUUGGCACAACUCAAUCAACAAGGAGAUGAAGGAAAUAACCGACGAGGCUAGGAAAAUUCAGCUGUCUGGAGAUUUUUCGGAUUUAUCUUCAUUUGAUGAACGCUUGCAAUAUAUUGCUGAAGUAUGCAUCUUCCACUGUCUUGCACAGGACAAGAUCAUAUUUCCAGCAGUAGAUGGGAGCUUUCAUUUUCUGAGGAGCACGAUGAAGAAGAAAACCAGUUUAACGAGUUUCGAUGCUUAAUUGAAAAAAAUCAAAAGUGCUGGAGCGUCUUCUACUUCUGCUGUUGAGUUUUACACCAAGCUGUGCUCACAUGCGGAUCAAAUAAUGGAAAUUAUUCAAAGGCACUUCCACAACGAGGAAAUUCAGGUGCUACCCCUUGCACGAAAGAACUUCAGCUUUAAAAAACAACAAGAGAUUCUCUACCAAAGCCUGUGCAUAAUGCCCUUAAGAUUAUAAUUGAACGUGUUUUGCCAUGGUUGACUGCAUCUUUAACAGAAGAUGAAGCUAAGAAUUUUCUGAAGAACUUGCAAGCUGGAGGGCGGCGAGUUUCUCCAAAGAAAAAAGUGAAGUCAUGCUGCUUCUGAAAGCUCUUCAAGAUAUUGGUUUUGAUCUUCCUGUCAGGCUUUUAGUUGGAAGACCUGAGUUGCUAGUUUCUGAGGUGGAUGAAUGGUUCGAGAAACUGAAACCCAUAAAGGACAAUGCUGCUCUCAAUUUUGCCAAUGCUCUUUUGAAUCUUCUCUGGGCAUUUGAACUAAGAGCUACUGCAUCAUGGGUAUUCCAGUUGGCAAUCAAAAGGGGUAUCUUCAGUCGCGACGUUUUCAGGCCAGAUCCUAGUCAACACUUGUUUAGUGCAAACGCUUAGGUGUUUAGCAGUCACAUUAAUGAUUGGUUUUGAUUUUCAGGGUGGCGGACAAGGACUGAGGUGCUGAUUUUAGAAGAUUGUCCGCAGGAUGCAUCAACGGUAUCUCCCUGGACAAAACACUGAAGGCAUGUCUUUGGGAGAUAGGCUCUCCAUUUCUUCCCUGGAAGACGAAAACAGGACUUCUAGUGGCGAAAGCUCACUCUCUCAGAAUGUGGAAAGUCGUUAGGAGAUAUGGGUGUUUAUUUCCGCAUGCUAGAUGCACUGUUAGCUGCAGAAGAAUACAAAGAUCGCUCUGUGUCAGGACACUUUAUGUAAUGACUGUGAACGCAAAGGAAGGACACGGUUCCAUUGGUUGUACCAUAAAUGCGGUACAUGCGGCUCUUACAACACCCGUGUGAUCAGAUCAGAAACAACAACCACCCCAACCCCAGACUGCUCAACCUCAUCCUGAAAACAAUGUGAGAAAUUUUUCACUCUCGUUUCCCUUUUUCUAAAUGUUGAUUUCAGUUUCUGUUUCGCACAACGAUGUGGUGAAGAAGGAAACUUGUAACAAAAAGGUCCGUUGAUAGAAUGUUCAUAUGUACACAUGAAGUUAUAUGAUGUUGAGGGUUUUUUAAUUCAUGCUCUGUUUUAUUUUUCUUUAAUUGUAGACAAAUAAAAAAAAAUGGUUUCUUUAAUUGGGAAACUUAAAGUUUCCUCUUUUUAUUU